CCAAGAUAAGAUUAAAUAAUCUAAUGAGACCCAAUUAUUUUAUUGGAGCUUGAAAGGUGCAACAAAAAAAACUCAUUAAAAGGCAAGAUAAGCCAUGAUUAUAUAAUUUUGGCGGGUCGACCCGGCAAGUUAUUGAGGAUACCAAACAUCAAAUUAAGUCCAACUAUUUAGUUAAUCAUGGCUUAUCUUGGCAACCAAACGGGGCCUAAGU
This 211-nucleotide long non-coding RNA is filed under the name Erythranthe guttata (spotted monkey flower). Its description in RNAcentral is "long non-coding RNA (EGUT_LNC002915)". Lineage: Eukaryota; Viridiplantae; Streptophyta; Magnoliopsida; Lamiales; Phrymaceae. The record is from RNAcentral.